This 468-nucleotide ribosomal RNA is filed under the name uncultured bacterium. RNAcentral describes it as "partial 16S ribosomal RNA". It matches the Rfam family "Bacterial small subunit ribosomal RNA", at positions 28 to 507 of the family's 1533-position model. The record is from RNAcentral.
GACGAACGCUGGCGGCGUGCUUAACACAUGCAAGUCGAACGGAAAGGCCCUGCUUUUGUGGGGUUCUCGUUUGGCGAACGGGUGAGUAACACGUGAGUAACCUGCCCUUGACUUUGGGAUAACUUCAGGAAACUGGGGCUAAUACCGGAUAUGAGCUCCUGCUGCAUGGUGGGGGUUGGAAAGUUUCGGCGGUUGGGGAUGGACUCGCGGCUUAUCCGCUUGUUGGUGGGGUAGUGGCUUACCAAGGCUUUGACGGGUAGGCGGCCUGAGAGGGUGACCGGCCACAUUGGGACUGAGAUACGGACCAGAAGCCUACGGGCGGCAGCAGUGGGGGAUAUUGCACAAUGGGCGGAAGCCUGAUGCAGCAACGCCGCGUGCGGGAUGACGGCCUUCGGGGUGUAAACCGAUUUCGCCUGUGACGAAGCGUGAGUGACGGUAAUGGGUAAAGAAGCACCGGCUAACUACGUG